GACGAACGCGGGCGGCGCGCUUAAUACAUGCAAGUGGGACGCAAGAGGACACACUGUGCUUGCACACCGUGUUUUCUUGAGUCGCGAACGGGUGAGUAACGCGUAGGUAACCUGCCUAUAGCGGGGGAUAACUAUGGAAACGAUAGCUAAUACCGCAUAAUAUUAAUUAUUGCAUGAUAAUUGAUUGAAAGAUGCAAGCGCAUCACUAGUAGAUGGACCUGCGUUGUAUAAGCUAGUUGGUAAGGUAAGAGCUUACCAAGGCGACGAUACAUAGCCGACCUGAGAGGGUGAUCGGCCACACUGGGACUGAGACACGGCCCAGACUCCUACGGGAGGCAGCAGUAGGGAAUCUUCGGCAAUGGACGAAAGUCUGACCGAGCAACGCCGCGUGAGUGAAGAAGGUUUUCGGAUCGUAAAGCUCUGUUGUAAGUCAAGAACGUGUGUGAGAGUGGAAAGUUCACACAGUGACG
This 470-nucleotide ribosomal RNA is filed under the name Streptococcus mutans. RNAcentral's name for it is "bacterial SSU rRNA". It matches the Rfam family "Bacterial small subunit ribosomal RNA", at positions 28 to 474 of the family's 1533-position model. Lineage: Bacteria; Bacillati; Bacillota; Bacilli; Lactobacillales; Streptococcaceae. The record is from RNAcentral.